CUUGAAAUCUUUAGUGCCAGGAAAACACCUUUUAUUUUCCACAUAGAGAUGCAUUGAUUCAUACCCUGGCAGAAAUUGUGAAAUGUUGGCAUUGAUUUUGAAAAUAUAACUAAUCAUGCAAAGAAAUGUCUUUACUGAAGCAUAGUGACAGAGUGAAGCCAUUUAUUAUCACAUAGUUGUUUGGCUCCUUUUAAAAUCAUAAUGAUUACAGAAAUAACCCAAAUGGCCGUGAUCAAAAGUUUACAUAUCCUUGAAUGUUUGGCCUUGUUACAGACACACUUGAUGACACACAUAGGUUAAAAUGCUAAUUAAAGGUUAAUUUUCCACACCUGUGGCUUUUUAAAUUGCAAUUCGUGUCUGUGUAUAAAUAGUCAAUGAGUUUGUGAGCUCUCAGGUGGAUGCACUGAGCAGGCUGGAUACUGAGCCAUGGGGAGCAUAGAAGAACUUUCAAAACAAGGUAAUGGAACUUUAUAAAGAUGGAAAAGUAAGUAAAAAGAUAUCCAAAGCCUUGAAAAU
Pelobates cultripes (western spadefoot toad) is the source of this 516-nucleotide non-coding RNA. NCBI's taxonomy places the organism in Eukaryota, Metazoa, Chordata, Amphibia, Anura, Pelobatidae. The record is from the annotation of a GenBank genome assembly.